RNAcentral lists this ribosomal RNA (683 nucleotides) under Salmonella enterica. RNAcentral's name for it is "bacterial SSU rRNA". It matches the Rfam family "Bacterial small subunit ribosomal RNA", at positions 839 to 1522 of the family's 1533-position model. Lineage: Bacteria; Pseudomonadati; Pseudomonadota; Gammaproteobacteria; Enterobacterales; Enterobacteriaceae. The record is from RNAcentral. RNAcentral also lists the same sequence under 1 other name.
GUGGCUUCCGGAGCUAACGCGUUAAGUAGACCGCCUGGGGAGUACGGCCGCAAGGUUAAAACUCAAAUGAAUUGACGGGGGCCCGCACAAGCGGUGGAGCAUGUGGUUUAAUUCGAUGCAACGCGAAGAACCUUACCUGGUCUUGACAUCCACAGAACUUUCCAGAGAUGGAUUGGUGCCUUCGGGAACUGUGAGACAGGUGCUGCAUGGCUGUCGUCAGCUCGUGUUGUGAAAUGUUGGGUUAAGUCCCGCAACGAGCGCAACCCUUAUCCUUUGUUGCCAGCGAUUAGGUCGGGAACUCAAAGGAGACUGCCAGUGAUAAACUGGAGGAAGGUGGGGAUGACGUCAAGUCAUCAUGGCCCUUACGACCAGGGCUACACACGUGCUACAAUGGCGCAUACAAAGAGAAGCGACCUCGCGAGAGCAAGCGGACCUCAUAAAGUGCGUCGUAGUCCGGAUUGGAGUCUGCAACUCGACUCCAUGAAGUCGGAAUCGCUAGUAAUCGUGGAUCAGAAUGCCACGGUGAAUACGUUCCCGGGCCUUGUACACACCGCCCGUCACACCAUGGGAGUGGGUUGCAAAAGAAGUAGGUAGCUUAACCUUCGGGAGGGCGCUUACCACUUUGUGAUUCAUGACUGGGGUGAAGUCGUAACAAGGUAACCGUAGGGGAACCUGCGGUUGGA